UGCAAGAAGCCUCAGAAUUCAAGA
Molecule: non-coding RNA, 24 nt
Filed under: Rattus norvegicus (Norway rat)
Lineage: Eukaryota; Metazoa; Chordata; Mammalia; Rodentia; Muridae
Source: RNAcentral